AUAACAUUAAGAAAAUUACAAAUUACUAUGAAAUUCAAUUCCCAAAGAUUCUUACCAACUCCAUGACAAGAUUUGCAUGUCUUUCCUCCAAAUUCCUUACCUGUAACAAGAAAAGGUAUAAAAUUUCUCCAAAUUUUGAAUCAAAUAAAACCCUUUUUUUAAGAAAAAAGUUGAUAAUUUGAGUUGUUCAAUUUACUUACCUUUUUCUUGUGAUUGUCUGUUCGAGUUUUGAUGACAUGGUACUGUGAAACAAUCAAUUCAUAUUAAUUAGUUUCGUAAUUUGAUUUAUAACAUCAGUUGCAUUGAUUUUGUAGAUAAAUUAAAUUAGAUUUUAGGGUUUAUUAUGUCUAAGCUUUAUGUAAUUACAUAUAAUUACUUACCCCAAAAACAUUGUUAGGAGUCUUUUCAAUGGAGGCUGAAAUGGAGUUUGUAGAAGCCCAAAUUUGCUGGCCUAGUAAAAAUAAUAACCCAAUCACAAAUGGGCUCAAAAAUUAAAAACCUAGCCCAAACAACAUUAACAUUUUCAGCAGAAAUGAGUAAAAGAAACCCUAGGAGCCGCAUGCCUCGGGUGGCCUCCUCGUCUGCCACCCCCAGUCACCAGGCACCUUCAGCGCACGCCUCUGACACUGCCGCCGUUGGCCCUCCACGCGUGUCAGACCACCUGCAGAGAGAAAUGAAGGCAAAGAAAUAAAGAGCAAUCAAUAAUAAUAAAAAACAGUUUGUAAUGGCCUAUAAAAAACAACAAGAGCCAUUUUUAGAGUCUUCGAUUUUCUUUGAAAAAGCAUAACAGAGAUUAGAAAUAAAAAAGAGAACAAAAGGUUACUGUUUUAUUCUUCUUUUUUCUUCGAUUCAUUCAUUUAUUUUAU
This 866-nucleotide long non-coding RNA is filed under the name Gossypium barbadense (sea-island cotton). RNAcentral describes it as "long non-coding RNA (GBAR_LNC016382)". Lineage: Eukaryota; Viridiplantae; Streptophyta; Magnoliopsida; Malvales; Malvaceae. The record is from RNAcentral.